UAGGGAAUCUUCCACAAUGGGCGGCAAGCCUGAUGGAGCAACGCCGCGUGAGUGAAGAAGGUCUUCGGAUCGUAAAACUCUGUUGUAAGAGAAGAACGUGUGUGAGAGUGGAAAGUUCACACAGUGACGGUAACUUACCAGAAAGGGACGGCUAACUACGUGCCAG
Molecule: ribosomal RNA, 166 nt
Filed under: uncultured bacterium
Lineage: Bacteria
Description: partial 16S rRNA
Rfam family: Bacterial small subunit ribosomal RNA
Source: RNAcentral